This 405-nucleotide long non-coding RNA is filed under the name Phoenix dactylifera (date palm). RNAcentral describes it as "long non-coding RNA (PDAC_LNC000180)". Lineage: Eukaryota; Viridiplantae; Streptophyta; Magnoliopsida; Arecales; Arecaceae. The record is from RNAcentral.
UUCUAUCUGAUUUUUAAAUUUCAUAUUUCUUCACACCUGUCAAGAUCCAUCUAGUAUAUAAAGAUAUUUAAAGCUAAGGCCUUGUAUUAAUAUUGCAGAGAUGAGAUAUCGACAUGGUGAGAAUCAACGGGGAAGGGAAAAUUUUUUUUGCAUGAGAAGACUUUGAUCUUUGACUCACCAGUGUUGUACAUGACAUUAUAAGUUAAAACAUGCAACAAUGAUUAAUGAAGACAAAGGGCCUGCUUGGCAUCACUGCAAGUUUCUUAUUUUUGAUUUUGAUUUCAGGAAACACACAAACUGAGGCUAGAAACUCAUUUCGUUACCUUUUUUGCUUUUUGAUUUUUUGAAAACACUUCCAGAAUUUCUCAAAAAAGUGAAAGCUCUAAGGAGUAACUUUCACUUUUU